RNAcentral lists this ribosomal RNA (252 nucleotides) under uncultured bacterium. RNAcentral describes it as "partial 16S ribosomal RNA". It matches the Rfam family "Bacterial small subunit ribosomal RNA", at positions 81 to 334 of the family's 1533-position model. The record is from RNAcentral.
UACUUUGGUGGCGACCGGCGCACGGGUGCGUAACGCGUAUGCAACCUACCUUUAACAGGGGCAUAACACUGAGAAAUUGGUACUAAUUCCCCAUAACAUUCGAGAAGGCAUCUUCUUGGGUUAAAAACUCCGGUGGUCAAAGAUGGGCAUGCGUUGUAUUAGCUAGUUGGUGAGGUAACGGCUCACCAAGGCAACGAUACAUAGGGGGACUGAGAGGUUAACCCCCCACAUUGGUACUGAGACACGGACCAA